This 829-nucleotide ribosomal RNA is filed under the name Pochonia sp. CBS 634.75. RNAcentral describes it as "eukaryotic LSU rRNA". It matches the Rfam family "Eukaryotic large subunit ribosomal RNA", at positions 74 to 935 of the family's 3401-position model. Lineage: Eukaryota; Fungi; Ascomycota; Sordariomycetes; Hypocreales; Clavicipitaceae. The record is from RNAcentral.
AUUGCCCCAGUAACGGCGAGUGAAGCGGCAACAGCUCAAAUUUGAAAUCUGGCCUUCUGGUCCGAGUUGUAAUUUGUAGAGGAUGCUUUUGGUGAGGUACCUUCCGAGUUCCCUGGAACGGGACGCCAUAGAGGGUGAGAGCCCCGUCUGGUUGGAUACCGAGCCUCUGUAAAGCUCCUUCGACGAGUCGAGUAGUUUGGGAAUGCUGCUCAAAAUGGGAGGUAUAUGUCUUCUAAAGCUAAAUAUUGGCCAGAGACCGAUAGCGCACAAGUAGAGUGAUCGAAAGAUGAAAAGCACUUUGAAAAGAGGGUUAAAUAGUACGUGAAAUUGUUGAAAGGGAAGCACUUAUGACCAGACUUGGGCCCGGUGAAUCAUCCAGCGUUCUCGCUGGUGCACUUCGCCGGCCCAGGCCAGCAUCAGUUCGUCCCGGGGGAUAAAGGCUUCGGGAACGUAGCUCCUUCGGGAGUGUUAUAGACCGUUGCGCAAUACCCUGGGGUGGACUGAGGUUCGCGCUUCCGCAAGGAUGCUGGCGUAAUGGUCAUCAGCGACCCGUCUUGAAACACGGACCAAGGAGUCGUCUUCGUAUGCGAGUGUUCGGGUGUCAAACCCCUACGCGUAAUGAAAGUGAACGCAGGUGAGAGCUUCGGCGCAUCAUCGACCGAUCCUGAUGUUCUCGGAUGGAUUUGAGUAAGAGCAUACGGGGCCGGACCCGAAAGAAGGUGAACUAUGCCUGUAUAGGGUGAAGCCAGAGGAAACUCUGGUGGAGGCUCGCAGCGGUUCUGACGUGCAAAUCGAUCGUCAAAUAUGGGCAUGGGGGCGAAAGACUAAU